Molecule: long non-coding RNA, 459 nt
Filed under: Nicotiana benthamiana
Lineage: Eukaryota; Viridiplantae; Streptophyta; Magnoliopsida; Solanales; Solanaceae
Description: long non-coding RNA (NBEN_LNC022218)
Source: RNAcentral
UCAAGGUUGAGCAAACUGUCCUGAAGAAAUUCUGGCCGGAAAGUACUGUAGCUGCUGGAAAAUUCAAUAAAGUCGCCGGAAAAAACUGAAAGUUAUCGGAAUCGAACGAAACAAGGAUGGGUAGGGUCGGAAUUGAAGACCGACCAAACUGUCCUUCUGGAGCGAACUGAAAAAGUGGCUGGAAAGGCCCUUACGCGCCUGCGCGUGGGCUCACGCGCCGAGGGUAUUGCCGGCCCGUGGGGGCACGUGGCUGGCUAGUUUCCGGUGAUUUUUUCUGGGGUUGGUCGGAAUUCUCUUCCGAACCUCGUGGUGGCCUCGGAUUUUGCACAGAACCAACAAAAAGGGUAGUUUUAGUUACGGACAGCCUCUUAAGUUGCCGGAAAAUUGCACGGCGACGAGGUCUUUCUUCCCGGAAGUAGCUGGAAUGACGCACAGCUAUAAUAUUCUCACCAAGGCNNN